UACGGAGGAUCCGAGCGUUAUCCGGAUUUAUUGGGUUUAAAGGGAGCGUAGGUUGACGUAUAAGUCAGCUGUGAAAGUUUACGGCUCAACCGUGAAAUUGCAGUUAAUACUGUAUGUCUGGAGUGUACAAGAGGUGGGCGGAAUUCGUGGUGUAGCGGUGAAAUGCUUAGAUAUCACGAAGAACUCCAAUUGCGAAGGCAGCUCACUGGGGUACAACUGACACUGAGGCUCGAAAGUGUGGGUAUCAAACAGGAUUAGAUACCCUGGUAGUCCACACAGUAAACGAUGAAUACUCGCUGUUUGCUAUAUACAGUAAGCGGCCAAGCGAAAGCAUUAAGUAUUCCACCUGGGGAGUACGCCGGCAACGGUGAA
RNAcentral lists this ribosomal RNA (372 nucleotides) under uncultured bacterium. RNAcentral describes it as "bacterial SSU rRNA". It matches the Rfam family "Bacterial small subunit ribosomal RNA", at positions 524 to 898 of the family's 1533-position model. The record is from RNAcentral.